UACGAAGGGUGCAAGCGUUACUCGGAAUUACUGGGCGUAAAGCGUGCGUAGGUGGUUCGUUAAGUCUGUCGUGAAAGCCCCGGGCUCAACCUGGGAAUGGCGAUGGAUACUGGCGGGCUAGAGUGCGGUAGAGGCGAGUGGAAUUCCCGGUGUAGCAGUGAAAUGCGUAGAGAUCGGGAGGAACAUCAGUUGCGAAGGCGGCUCUCUGGACCAGCACUGACACUGAGAGACGAAAGCUAGGGGAGCGAAUGGG
This 253-nucleotide ribosomal RNA is filed under the name uncultured bacterium. RNAcentral's name for it is "partial 16S ribosomal RNA". It matches the Rfam family "Bacterial small subunit ribosomal RNA", at positions 524 to 776 of the family's 1533-position model. The record is from RNAcentral.